This is a non-coding RNA of Phyllostomus discolor (pale spear-nosed bat), 660 nucleotides long. NCBI's taxonomy places the organism in Eukaryota, Metazoa, Chordata, Mammalia, Chiroptera, Phyllostomidae. The record is from the annotation of a RefSeq genome assembly.
CCAAAGGAUCACGAAAGUAGAGGAACAGCCCUCUCAGCUGUGGUAUUACCAAGCAAACCUGCUGCUGGUUCUCUGCCAGCCAUGCUGUCUGCUUCCAGCUUGGUACUUACGAUCUUGUUGAUGUUGGGAGGGACCAGUGGAGACUCAGUGACCCAGACAGAAGGCCCUGUUACCCUGCCAGAGGGGAAAACUUUGACACUGAACUGCACUUACCAGACCACCUACACUACUACAGAAUAUCUUUUCUGGUAUGUCCAAUAUCCAAAAAAAGAGCCUGUUCUUCUCCUGAAAAGCUCAUCGGAUAAUCAGGAGGUCAACAACAGAGGUUUUCAGGCCAAACUUGUGAAGACUCAGAAAUCCUUCCACUUGCAGAGACCUUUAGUGCGAAUGGCAGACUCGGCGGUGUACUUCUGUGCUUUGAGUGACACAGUGCAGGAGUCCACAGGGGGAGCUGAGCACAAACCCAGAGCGGCUCACACGGGGCUGCAGGGCAGCAGCCUGGCUAUUCUGGGAGCCACAGGGAGCUUCUCUGACUGUUCUCAGGAGACAUACAGGUGUUCCCUGAAAUUACCUGAGGUGUCCCCCACAUCUCAGAGCCCCUGCUCCGGCACACGAUAUCCCUACUGCAAAGUUAUACCAGUGCCCUUGGCUAGAGUUUGA